RNAcentral lists this ribosomal RNA (440 nucleotides) under uncultured Pantoea sp. RNAcentral describes it as "bacterial SSU rRNA". It matches the Rfam family "Bacterial small subunit ribosomal RNA", at positions 358 to 790 of the family's 1533-position model. The record is from RNAcentral. Lineage: Bacteria; Pseudomonadati; Pseudomonadota; Gammaproteobacteria; Enterobacterales; Erwiniaceae.
GGAAUAUUGCACAAUGGGCGCAAGCCUGAUGCAGCCAUGCCGCGUGUAUGAAGAAGGCCUUCGGGUUGUAAAGUACUUUCAGCGGGGAGGAAGGGAGCGCGGUUAAUAACCGCGUUCAUUGACGUUACCCGCAGAAGAAGCACCGGCUAACUCCGUGCCAGCAGCCGCGGUAAUACGGAGGGUGCAAGCGUUAAUCGGAAUUACUGGGCGUAAAGCGCACGCAGGCGGUCUGUUAAGUCAGAUGUGAAAUCCCCGGGCUUAACCUGGGAACUGCAUUUGAAACUGGCAGGCUUGAGUCUUGUAGAGGGGGGUAGAAUUCCAGGUGUAGCGGUGAAAUGCGUAGAGAUCUGGAGGAAUACCGGUGGCGAAGGCGGCCCCCUGGACAAAGACUGACGCUCAGGUGCGAAAGCGUGGGGAGCAAACAGGAUUAGAUACCCCAG